AGGCGGAGUCGGAGCGGAAUUUCAUCCUGUCUAACCUGGCGCAGAAGAAGGGCGGUGGGUGGAGGUGGAGGUGUAACCUGGAGAUAAUAUCCCAGUUUGUAGAGGAGGUCAGGGCGUAUCCGGAUAACGUGCCAAUAUCUUCAAUAAAUACCCUUUUUCUAUACGGAGGUGCUAGCGACUACAUGACUCCAGCACGUGUAGCCACAGCCCAGGAGCUGUUCAGUGCUGCUCAGUUUGAAGUGGUGCCCGGAGCGGGGCAUAUUGUUCAUCUUGAUCAACCUGAGAUAUUUUAUACGUCCCUCCGGAACUUUCUGGAAAUGUACGGAGAGGUAGAGUUCUAGUUCGCAGAGAUAGAUUCGACCCCUUUGAUACGGUCUGCAUGUGAUUUAAACCGCCGUGACCCCAAUAAAAUCUGAAUAACAUGUUAAACAUUUAAGAUUUAUAUUUUAUUCAUUUUUGUAAGAUUAUUCUGUUUUGAUUGUUGUUUUGAUGUAACUUGAUAGGUUUUUGUAUGAGAGUAGCAGUUUAUUAAACCUCAGUCUCUUCAAUGUAAUACUUUAAUAAUGUAAUACUUUAAUAAUUGCUAAUUUAAUCAUUC
Long non-coding RNA from Bolinopsis microptera, 598 nucleotides. RefSeq lists it as uncharacterized. The record is from RefSeq and is a predicted model, not a curated record. NCBI's taxonomy places the organism in Eukaryota, Metazoa, Ctenophora, Tentaculata, Lobata, Bolinopsidae. The transcript is spliced from 2 exons.